UAAACUUAGCACAGAUGAUAGGGUAAUAGAAGGAGUAGGUUGAACAGUCCCAGAACCCUCAACAUUAUAGGUUGAUCCAUCGGCUAUAAUAACAGGAGAAGGUGCUUUAUGAGAUCGAAAGCUAGUAAAAAUAUGAGGAUUACCUGUCAUGUGAUCUGUGGCACCAGAAUUAAUGACCCAUUUAUAUGAAGAGGAAAUAAG
This 201-nucleotide long non-coding RNA is filed under the name Manihot esculenta (cassava). RNAcentral's name for it is "long non-coding RNA (MESC_LNC001775)". Lineage: Eukaryota; Viridiplantae; Streptophyta; Magnoliopsida; Malpighiales; Euphorbiaceae. The record is from RNAcentral.